UGGCCCUGGUGUGCGCCACUGCCACCCUGGAGACACUCCAGGGGAAGGAACCACUAAGUCCAGGCUACAGUUGAUUGCUGGGAACAACAAAGGAGAAAAGAGGAACAGGAGUGAGAUUAAAGAUUGAAAAUCUAUGGAAACAGAGCAGAGAAUCCCAGAAAGCACCCACCACUUUUCAAAGGCAUCCAAGGAAACAGUAGACACUGCCCAGAGGAACUCCGCCUGGAGAUGUGAGCAGACAAGGGACAAUAAAAAGGCCCCACAAUUGCAGAGUACCCCCCCUCAUCCAGCUUCCUCCUCUUGGAGUGAUAGAUGGCUAUCUUGGCCAGUGUCCAGAGGAUGUUGACAAGGAGGUCCCAUUACUUUGUGGGGCCAUGGAUGAAGUGUACAUAAAGCAGGAGGUGGGGGGGGGGAAGGGGCAGCCAGAACCUCAGGAGGAGGUUCUGGAUGAUCCACAAGAGGGGCUGCAACCUGCUGCACUCUACAUAGAUCUCAAGGGUUGCUGUAGAAGGAACAUGUAUCAGAAGAGUUUGUGAACCAUGCCAGUACAUGCCUGUCCUUACAGCUCCACGUAGGAACUGCCAGUUAACAUUUCUGGUGGGCCAUGGAAUUACAGUAGAGUACAGACAGGCCAACCAGGGUUCCUCAACCUCCACUGGUGGCAAUAGGUUCCUCCACUUGGUGUUGGAUGGGACACAAGGGUGAGGAAGUGAAUGGUAUGAAGAAUGAAUGCUUACAGAUAUUCUCUGGGCACAGCUUGGAGGCAGACCUAGGUGGCAUGUUGGAGGCAGCCAGGGGCGGGGCUCGUAGAGCAGGGGCCCAAUAAUGAGUUCUGGAGGGCCAGAGAUGAGGGGGUGGACACAAAGCACACUCAUGCAGGACCCACUCAAGGAAAGUCAGAAUCAGGAGCCAAGGCUGCCCUCACUUCCCAGAGCACACAACAUUGGAGAUGCAGGCUGGGCAGCCUCAUGCACUGGCCGAGCACCACAGGGUCCACCCAGUGUCUCAGAUCAAUUCUGAUGGCACCAGCCAGGACUAUCCUCUGGAAAACCAAGGGUGACACCACCACCUGAACACAGAGAUGGGAGCUGUGUGUAGCAGGAGUUCUGCAGCACACCAUGGAACUUUUAUUGCAUGGAGGCCAGUUAUUGUGUGGCAGGCUAGUGUGCUGUAUAUUUACAUCCCAGUUUACUGUGCACUGCCAGUGUAGACAUGCCCUCGCUCCCUGUGUGAUUCAUCUCCUGGGUGUGGAACACAGCAUGGCAGUUACCUGACUUAGAGGUAUAGGAAAGACCCUGCAUUAACUUGAUUAGCUGUUUGCUAAUUUGAGGAGUCCGCAGUGAAAAUGCUGAUCAAAACCCCCACACAACAAUUGAAUGGGUCUUUUGGUCCUGUCCCACACUCCAGCAUAUAUCCUAUGUUGCUAGUUACUCGUUCUUUAUUAUGUAGUUAUCAAAUAAAACUUUGUAAUAUGUGUUUUGCAUAAAUUAGUUAAAUAUAUUGUAAAACAAUAUACCAAAGAGAAUUUGAAACAUGAACAUUGACUUUAUGUUGUAAAAAGUUUAACACUGUGUGGCAGGUGUUCUUCAUACUGUAAUGCAGUUUUGUUUGUAGAACAUGACAAAUGGAAUGGGCAAGAUAAACUGAAAUGUUACUAUUUAUUUCUUAUGUAUAACAUUAUUGUAACAAUGUUUUCAAAAGUGCAAGAUUAAUUCCAUACAUGUGGUCAGGGUGUAGCAGACUGUUGGGAACCAAGUGUUUCCUCUUUUUAUACUCCCUUAUAAUGGCUGCACUAUAUAUUUGAGUUUUUACAAUACUUUCCUCAUUGCCAGAUAGUUUGGGGUUCAAAAAUAAAAUCACAAAACCUCUGUUAAAUGUGUUUUUGUUUUGGUUCUUUAAAUAAAAAAAAAUUCUUAGUA
Molecule: long non-coding RNA, 1919 nt
Organism: Gopherus evgoodei (Goodes thornscrub tortoise)
Lineage: Eukaryota; Metazoa; Chordata; Testudines; Testudinidae
Exons: 2
Source: RefSeq, a predicted model, not a curated record